GUGGACAAUCAUCUCAAAACUGUGGAAAAAAAAUGGGAAAUAAUAACCCAACUUAAAAAUAAAAGUGGUUUUGGUUAGGAUGAUUGUUUGAAAAUGAUUACGGAUUCGAAAGAUGUAUAUGAUGAAGAAGUAAAUGCACAUCCGAAUCAUGACAAGUAUCUCAACAAAAAACUUGAUAUGUAUGAAGCAAUGAUAAUUGUUGUUGAAAAAGACAUGGCAACCGGAAAUUAUGCCAAAUCAUAUGCUGAUAUCAACCUAGAAGAGAACAUUGAAGUGUAAUCUAUUUCAAUUGAAAAUGAAGGAGAAUAUGAAGAAACUUCAAAAGGUAAAGAGACAUCUUCCUCUAAUACCCAAAAGAGGCAACAUAAGAAGAGAUAUUGAACGUACGAAGAUGAUAGUGUUGAAAAGUUGUCUAAAAAGAUUGGAGAUGUAGCGUUUGUAAUUCAAAGCCUAAACAAAAAUCAACUUGAUGUUAAUGAGCUAUAUACAAAAGUGAUGAAAGUUGAAGGCUUUAAGAAGAUCGCUCUUGGUGAUGUUUUUAAUCACUUGGUUCAAAAUGAAAUGUUGGCAAAAGCAUUUAUGGUAAAAAAAUGCUAAUUUGAG
Populus euphratica (Euphrates poplar) is the source of this 603-nucleotide long non-coding RNA. RefSeq lists it as uncharacterized. The transcript is spliced from 2 exons. Lineage: Eukaryota; Viridiplantae; Streptophyta; Magnoliopsida; Malpighiales; Salicaceae. The record is from RefSeq and is a predicted model, not a curated record.